AUUGAACGCUAGCGGGAUGCUUUACACAUGCAAGUCGAACGAGUGGCGGACGGGUGAGUAAUAUAUCGGAACGUGCCCAGUAGCGGGGGAUACCUACUCGAAAGAGUGGCUAUUCCCGCAUACUUUUGCAGCGGCCGAUAUCGGAUUAGCUAGUUGGUGGGGUAAAGGCUAACCAAGGCAACGAUCCGUAGCUGGUUUGAGAGGUCGACCAGCCACACUGGGACUGAGACACGGCCCAGACUCCUACGGGAGGCAGCAGUGGGGAAUUUUGGACAAUGGGGGAAACCCUGAUGCAGCCAUCCCGCGUGUAUGAGAAGGCCUUCGGGUUGUAAAGUACUUUUGGCAGAGAAGCGGUAUCUGCAGAAUAAGCACCGGCUAACUACGUGCCAGCAGCCGCGGUAAUUC
Molecule: ribosomal RNA, 405 nt
Filed under: uncultured bacterium
Lineage: Bacteria
Description: partial 16S ribosomal RNA
Rfam family: Bacterial small subunit ribosomal RNA
Source: RNAcentral